GAGGAUCAAGUUUGUUUUCCUACCCAUCUUCAUCCACCUUUUCCCGGCCAUGCAGAAUGGAGCUUCAAUUAUUUGACCAAAGUGAACAGAUCAAUGGAAUUGGUACCUCACAUAGAUUAUCUGUUUGAGAAAACAUCCUUAAGAUAAAAAUCAAUCAAAAGGGUACGACGGUUUUAAGAAUGCUAAAAUGCCAAGAGACUCUCCAGGCCUAGCCACCUUAAGGACCUGGAUGAUUAGCUGGUUGAAAGUUUGGAUAACCCUUCGGAUAGACAGUGAAUUAUUUUAUUUUUCCAUUUUGUGUAAGCUGAUUGCAUGGUACAUGUGACAUAAUUAUUUGAAAGUAAAUGUAUG
This is a long non-coding RNA of Choloepus didactylus (southern two-toed sloth), 351 nucleotides long. RefSeq lists it as uncharacterized. The record is from RefSeq and is a predicted model, not a curated record. Lineage: Eukaryota; Metazoa; Chordata; Mammalia; Pilosa; Megalonychidae. The transcript has 3 exons.